CACAUUCCCAGAGAAAAAGAAGCUAACAAUUCCGUGAAGCACUCUGAACAGGACUGCAGAACUACAGCUGUGCCUCUGCCUCUGCUGCAUCGUUGCUGCCCUCUGUGUGCAAUGGUAGUGAAGCCAGGAGACUCCUUUGGUGAUGAUCACUCUCAGAAAGCUCAGGAAUCCAAGGUGGAGAAAUACCUCUUCUCAAUAACAUCCCGGCUCCCCUGGCUUUAUUCAGGGAUUUGACUUCAUCUUCUCAUCUGCAUGCACUUAAGCCCCAGCACCCAGAC
This 278-nucleotide long non-coding RNA is filed under the name Fukomys damarensis (Damara mole-rat). RNAcentral's name for it is "lncRNA (ENSFDAG00000032717.1)". Lineage: Eukaryota; Metazoa; Chordata; Mammalia; Rodentia; Bathyergidae. The record is from RNAcentral.